UACGUAGGGGGCAAGCGUUGUCCGGAAUCAUUGGGCGUAAAGCGCGUGUAGGCGGCCCGGUAAGUCCGCUGUGAAAGUCCAGGGCUCAACCCUCGAAUGCCGGUGGAUACUGUCGGGCUAGAGUGCGGAAGAGGCGAGUGGAAUUCCUGGUGUAGCGGUGAAAUGCGCAGAUAUCAGGAGGAACACCUAUUGCGAAGGCAGCUCGCUGGGACGUUACUGACGCUGAGACGCGAAAGCGUGGGGAGCAAACAGG
Molecule: ribosomal RNA, 253 nt
Filed under: uncultured bacterium
Lineage: Bacteria
Description: partial 16S ribosomal RNA
Rfam family: Bacterial small subunit ribosomal RNA
Source: RNAcentral